Molecule: transfer RNA, 74 nt
Filed under: Mycolicibacterium hassiacum DSM 44199
Lineage: Bacteria; Bacillati; Actinomycetota; Actinomycetes; Mycobacteriales; Mycobacteriaceae
Description: tRNA-Gly
Rfam family: tRNA
About the family: Transfer RNA (tRNA) molecules are approximately 80 nucleotides in length. Their secondary structure includes four short double-helical elements and three loops (D, anti-codon, and T loops). Further hydrogen bonds mediate the characteristic L-shaped molecular structure. tRNAs have two regions of fundamental functional importance: the anti-codon, which is responsible for specific mRNA codon recognition, and the 3' end, to which the tRNAs corresponding amino acid is attached (by aminoacyl-tRNA synthetases). tRNAs cope with the degeneracy of the genetic code in two manners: having more than one tRNA (with a specific anti-codon) for a particular amino acid; and 'wobble' base-pairing, i.e. permitting non-standard base-pairing at the 3rd anti-codon position.
Source: RNAcentral
GCGGGCGUAGCUCAAUGGUAGAGCCCUAGCCUUCCAAGCUAGUGACGCGGGUUCGAUUCCCGUCGCCCGCUCCG